CUCUAGUGAUGAACUCUUCAGCUCUUUCGUCUAUUCCCUUCUCCGGAAACAAUUCUUCCUUCGGUUUCCAUUGCUUUGCUGGAAUCCAAUUGGACACAGCUACAGGCUCCCUGAAGAG
Molecule: unclassified non-coding RNA, 118 nt
Filed under: Arabidopsis thaliana (thale cress)
Lineage: Eukaryota; Viridiplantae; Streptophyta; Magnoliopsida; Brassicales; Brassicaceae
Description: small nucleolar RNA R46
Source: RNAcentral